ACUCAAAUGAAUUGACGGGUCCCCGCACAAGCAGCGGAGCGUGCGGUUUAAUUCGAUGCAACGCGCAGAACCUUACCCAGACUUGACAUGGCCCUGAAACGCCGGGAAACCGGUGCCCCGCAAGGCAGGGUCACAGAUGUUGCAUGGCUGUCGUCAGCUCGUGUCGUGAGAUGUUGGGUUAAGUCCCGCAACGAGCGCAACCCUCGUGCCGUGUUGUAGAUCACGGGAGACUGCCGGUACAAGCCGGAGGAAGGCGGGGAUGACGUCAAGUCCGCAUGGCUCUUACGUCUGGGGCGACACGCACGCUACAAUGGCCAGGACAGAGCGCGGCGAAGGGGCGACCCGGAGCGAAUCGCGAAAGCUGGUCUCAGUUCGGAUGGCAGGCUGCAACCCGCCUGCCUGAAGUCGGAGUUGCUAGUAACCGGAUGUCAGCAUAGUCCGGUGAAUAUGUUCCCGGGGAUUGUACACACCGCCCGU
RNAcentral lists this ribosomal RNA (477 nucleotides) under uncultured bacterium. Its description in RNAcentral is "partial 16S ribosomal RNA". It matches the Rfam family "Bacterial small subunit ribosomal RNA", at positions 899 to 1397 of the family's 1533-position model. The record is from RNAcentral.